GAUUGAACGCUGGCGGCAGGCCUAACACAUGCAAGUCGAGCGGAUGAAGGGAGCUUGCUCCUGGAUUCAGCGGCGGACGGGUGAGUAAUGCCUAGGAAUCUGCCUGGUAGUGGGGGAUAACGUCCGGAAACGGGCGCUAAUACCGCAUACGUCCUGAGGGAGAAAGUGGGGGAUCUUCGGACCUCACGCUAUCAGAUGAGCCUAGGUCGGAUUAGCUAGUUGGUGGGGUAAAGGCCUACCAAGGCGACGAUCCGUAACUGGUCUGAGAGGAUGAUCAGUCACACUGGAACUGAGACACGGUCCAGACUCCUACGGGAGGCAGCAGUGGGGAAUAUUGGACAAUGGGCCAAAGCCUGAUCCAGCCAUGCCGCGUGUGUGAAGAAGGUCUUCGGAUUGUAAAGCACUUUAAGUUGGGAGGAAGGGCAGUAAGUUAAUACCUUGCUGUUUUGACGUUACCAACAGAAUAAGCACCGGCUAACUUCGUG
This 485-nucleotide ribosomal RNA is filed under the name uncultured bacterium. Its description in RNAcentral is "partial 16S ribosomal RNA". It matches the Rfam family "Bacterial small subunit ribosomal RNA", at positions 27 to 507 of the family's 1533-position model. The record is from RNAcentral.